This 324-nucleotide ribosomal RNA is filed under the name uncultured eukaryote. RNAcentral's name for it is "partial 18S ribosomal RNA". It matches the Rfam family "Eukaryotic small subunit ribosomal RNA", at positions 1470 to 1796 of the family's 1831-position model. The record is from RNAcentral.
CCCUUAGAUGUUCUGGGCCGCACGCGCGCUACACUGAUGCAUUCAACGAGUUUCUUCCUGGUCCGAGAGGAAUGGGUAACCUUUUGAAAGUGCAUCGUGAUAGGGAUAGACUAUUGCAAUUAUUGGUCUUCAACGAGGAAUUCCUAGUAGACGUAGUUCAUCAGUCUGCAUCGAUUACGUCCCUGCCCUUUGUACACACCGCCCGUCGCUCCUACCGAUUGAAUGCUCAGGUGAGCCAUUCGGACUUUCAUCAUGCUGGUUUCCAGUUUUGAUGAAGGAAAGUCUUGCGAACCUUAUCAUUUAGAGGAAGGAGAAGUCGUAACA